UAUCAAUAAGCGGAGGAAAAGAAACCAACAGGGAUUGCCCCAGUAACGGCGAGUGAAGCGGCAACAGCUCAAAUUUGAAAUCUGGCCCCUAGGGCCCGAGUUGUAAUUUGCAGAGGAUGCUUUUGGCGAGGUGCCUUCCGAGUUCCCUGGAACGGGACGCCAUAGAGGGUGAGAGCCCCGUCUGGUUGGAUACCGAGCCUCUGUAAAGCUCCUUCGACGAGUCGAGUAGUUUGGGAAUGCUGCUCUAAAUGGGAGGUAUAUGUCUUCUAAAGCUAAAUACCGGCCAGAGACCGAUAGCGCACAAGUAGAGUGAUCGAAAGAUGAAAAGCACUUUGAAAAGAGGGUUAAAUAGUACGUGAAAUUGUUGAAAGGGAAGCGCUUAUGACCAGACUUGGACCCGGUGAAUCAUCCAGCGUUCUCGCUGGUGCACUUUGCCGGGCUCAGGCCAGCAUCAGUUUGUCUCGGGGGAUAAAGGCUUAGGGAAUGUGGCUCCUCCGGGAGUGUUAUAGCCCUUUGCACAAUACCCUGGGGCGGACUGAGGUUCGCGCAUCUGCAAGGAUGCUGGCGUAAUGGUCAUCAGCGACCCGUCUUGAAACACGGACCAAGGAGUCGUCUUCGUAUGCGAGUGUUCGGGUGUAAAACCCCUACGCGUAAUGAAAGUGAACGCAGGUGAGAGCUUCGGCGCAUCAUCGACCGAUCCUGAUGUUCUCGGAUGGAUUUGAGUAAGAGCAUACGGGGCCGGACCCGAAAGAAGGUGAACUAUGCCUGUAUAGGGUGAAGCCAGAGGAAACUCUGGUGGAGGCUCGCAGCGGUUCUGACGUGCAAAUCGAUCGUCAAAUAUGGGCAUGGGGGCGAAAGACUAAU
RNAcentral lists this ribosomal RNA (864 nucleotides) under Conoideocrella tenuis. RNAcentral's name for it is "LSU rRNA". It matches the Rfam family "Eukaryotic large subunit ribosomal RNA", at positions 41 to 935 of the family's 3401-position model. Lineage: Eukaryota; Fungi; Ascomycota; Sordariomycetes; Hypocreales; Clavicipitaceae. The record is from RNAcentral.